GACGAACGCUGGCGGCGUGCUUAACACAUGCAAGUCGAACGGAAAGGCCCUGCUUUUGUGGGGUGCUCGAGUGGCGAACGGGUGAGUAACACGUGAGUAACCUGCCCUUGACUUUGGGAUAACUUCAGGAAACUGGGGCUAAUACCGGAUAGGAGCUCCUGCUGCAUGGUGGGGGUUGGAAAGUUUCGGCGGUGGGGGAUGGACUCGCGGCUUAUCAGCUUGUUGGUGGGGUAGUGACUUACCAAGGCUUUGACGGGUAGGCCGCCUGAGAGGGUGACCGGGCACCAUGGGACUGCGAUACGGCGCAGAAUCCUACGGGAGGCAGCAGUGGGGAAUAUUGCACAAUGGGCGGACGCGUGAUGCAGCAACGCCGCGUGCGGGAUGACGGCCUUCGGGUUGUAAACCGCUUUCGCCUGUGCCGAAGCGUGAGUGACGGUAAUGGGUAAAGAAGCACCGGCUAACUACGUG
RNAcentral lists this ribosomal RNA (468 nucleotides) under uncultured bacterium. RNAcentral's name for it is "partial 16S ribosomal RNA". It matches the Rfam family "Bacterial small subunit ribosomal RNA", at positions 28 to 507 of the family's 1533-position model. The record is from RNAcentral.